CAUACUUAUAUAUAUCUGCUUAUUUCUGCCUAGAAGUUAUCUCUAAUCGUUAAUACUUAUGUAUUUUUACGUAAAAAUAUUUUGGCAUUUAGGUAAGGUUAUGUUACGAGAUGGUUACGGGCCAAAUUUCAAGGUAUAAACAAUUUUCCUUGAAUUAUGUUACUUUUCACCGGUGAAAUGAAACAUUACUUAUUUGGGUAUUUGUUACCAGAAAUUGAUUUUUUAUAAAAAAAUCCUAUUGUGAUAAAGUGUUAUAUGACUAAGAAACUUGACAAUAACGAACAUAGGAGCAUGAGAUGCAGUUGGUGAGAUGUUCAGCGCUGACCUAGAGUUGUGCAGCAGUGACACCGCCACUUCCAUACGAGUCAUUAUCCACUUGGAAUAGAACAUCGCUUACCUACAAAAGCUGAAUCACUCGAACAGCAUAGGUUGCAGAACACAACCUCAGAAGCAGAGAACUUUACAUCGCUUACUGUAGAAAGAACGGUUGCCUAGCUUUUAUGGAAAAAAUGUAUCCGAGUUCUUCCUCGGCUCGAGCAGUCCAAGUGCCGGUGAUUUUAUUAUGACACAAAGGAUGAAAACCUUAUCUACUAAGAAACCUACGAGCUAGGCGGCUAGGAGGCCAUCUAGUUCCUGUUAUUGCCCACUGUCUGUGUCCACCAAGGCCCUGGUUCCUCAUGCAGCGCAGUUGUUGAAAGGUGACGGUAACUACAUUAUCAAACAAUACACAGACACCAGUUUGAACUUACCAUUAUCAGUAUUAAUGCCUGGAUAAAUAGAUGAACCCAGUGUCACGUCGCUCAUCGAUUUUGUUAUCAUAAUGAUAACAGUGAGGUUGGCCGGUUUUCCCUUCAUAAUUAACGAGUUAUUAAUGCAUAAAAGUAAAUGAAGCAAGAGAUUACUGUGAUCGAGUAGGCCAUUAGCGGCGUAUAUAUGGUAGAGGAACGCGGCUCCGGCACUCAGUCACUGAUCGAGCUGCACAAUGCUGAAACACGCGAGCUUGUUGCUGCUGCUGCUGGCGGCGCUGCUGAGCGGCUCGGCGCUCGCUAAGCCCUACCUCGGCCUCGGCUUCGGCCUGGGGGGGCUCGGUGGCUACGGUGGCUACGGUGGCUACGGCGACUACGGGGGCUACGGGGGCUAUGGAGGCUAUGGCUAUUACCCGCCUAUUUACUAUUAAUUACUAGAUAUACUGAGCUUGAUUCUUUAGUCACUGAAUAAAAUUGAUUACUUAAAA
Molecule: long non-coding RNA, 1234 nt
Organism: Helicoverpa armigera (cotton bollworm)
Lineage: Eukaryota; Metazoa; Arthropoda; Insecta; Lepidoptera; Noctuidae
Exons: 2
Source: RefSeq, a predicted model, not a curated record